GACGAACGCUGGCGGCGUGCCUAAUGCAUGCAAGUUGAGCGAUGAAGAUUGGUGCUUGCACCAAUUUGAAGAGCAGCGAACGGGUGAGUAACGCGUGGGGAAUCUGCCUUUGAGCGGGGGACAACAUUUGGAAACGAAUGCUAAUACCGCAUAACAACUUUAAACAUAAGUUUUAAGUUUGAAAGAUGCAAUUGCAUCACUCAAAGAUGAUUCCGCGUUGUAUUAGCUAGUUGGUGAGGUAAAGGCUCACCAAGGCGAUGAUACAUAGCCGACCUGAGAGGGUGAUCGGCCACAUUGGGACUGAGACACGGCCCAAACUCCUACGGGAGGCAGCAGUAGGGAAUCUUCGGCAAUGGACGAAAGUCUGACCGAGCAACGCCGCGUGAGUGAAGAAGGGUUUCGGAUCGUAAAACUCGGUUGGUAGAGAAGAACGUUGGUGAGAGUGGAAAGCUCAUCAAGUGACGGUAACUACCCAGAAAGGGACGGCUAACUACGUG
Molecule: ribosomal RNA, 497 nt
Filed under: uncultured bacterium
Lineage: Bacteria
Description: partial 16S ribosomal RNA
Rfam family: Bacterial small subunit ribosomal RNA
Source: RNAcentral